UGGGGAAUAUUGGACAAUGGGCGAAAGCCUGAUCCAGCCAUGCCGCGUGUGUGAAGAAGGUCUUCGGAUUGUAAAGCACUUUAAGUUGGGAGGAAGGGCAGUAAGUUAAUACCUUGCUGUUUUGACGUUACCGACAGAAUAAGCACCGGCUAACUCUGUGCCAGCAGCCGCGGUAAUACAGAGGGUGCAAGCGUUAAUCGGAAUUACUGGGCGUAAAGCGCGCGUAGGUGGUCUGUUAAGUUGGAUGUGAAAGCCCCGGGCUCAACCUGGGAACUGCAUCCAAAACUGGCAAGCUAGAGUACGGUAGAGGGUGGUGGAAUUUCCUGUGUAGCGGUGAAAUGCGUAGAUAUAGGAAGGAACACCAGUGGCGAAGGCGACCACCUGGACUGAUACUGACACUGAGGUGCGAAAGCGUGGGGAGCAAACA
RNAcentral lists this ribosomal RNA (427 nucleotides) under uncultured bacterium. Its description in RNAcentral is "partial 16S ribosomal RNA". It matches the Rfam family "Bacterial small subunit ribosomal RNA", at positions 355 to 774 of the family's 1533-position model. The record is from RNAcentral.